UACGAAGGGGGCUAGCGUUGCUCGGAAUCACUGGGCGUAAAGGGCGCGUAGGCGGCGUUUUAAGUCGGGGGUGAAAGCCUGUGGCUCAACCACAGAAUGGCCUUCGAUACUGGGACGCUUGAGUAUGGUAGAGGUUGGUGGAACUGCGAGUGUAGAGGUGAAAUUCGUAGAUAUUCGCAAGAGCACCGGUGGCGAAGGCGGCCAACUGGACCAUUACCGACGCUGAGGCGCGAAAGCGUGGGGAGCAAACAGG
This 253-nucleotide ribosomal RNA is filed under the name uncultured bacterium. Its description in RNAcentral is "partial 16S ribosomal RNA". It matches the Rfam family "Bacterial small subunit ribosomal RNA", at positions 524 to 776 of the family's 1533-position model. The record is from RNAcentral.